This 491-nucleotide ribosomal RNA is filed under the name Cryptococcus sp. EMI_1_Y20. Its description in RNAcentral is "eukaryotic LSU rRNA". It matches the Rfam family "Eukaryotic large subunit ribosomal RNA", at positions 98 to 595 of the family's 3401-position model. The record is from RNAcentral. Lineage: Eukaryota; Fungi; Basidiomycota; Tremellomycetes; Tremellales; Cryptococcaceae.
CCGGGAUGAGCUCAAAUUUAAAAUCUGGCGUCUUUCAGGCGUCCGAGUUGUAAUCUAUAGAGGCGUUUUCCGCGCCGGACCGCGUCCAAGUCCCUUGGAAUAGGGUAUCAAAGAGGGUGACAAUCCCGUACUUGACGCGACGACCGGUGCUCUGUGAUACGUUCUCAACGAGUCGAGUUGUUUGGGAAUGCAGCUCUAAACGGGUGGUAAAUUCCAUCUAAGGCUAAAUAUUGGCGAGAGACCGAUAGCGAACAAGUACCGUGAGGGAAAGAUGAAAAGCACUUUGGAAAGAGAGUUAAACAGCACGUGAAAUUGUUAAAAGGGAAACGAUUGAAGUCAGUCGUGUGAAAGGUAUUCAGCCGUCUCUGGCGGUGUAUUUGCCUUUCACGGGUCAACAUCAGUUUGAUCCGGCAGAAAAAGGCGGGAGGAAGGUGGCACCCUCGGGUGUGUUAUAGCCUCCUGUCACAUGUGUCGGACCAGACUGAGGAACG